GCGGCUUUGGUGUAGUAGUAGCAUAACUGCCUUCCAAGCAGUUGACGUGGGUGCGAUUCCCGCAAGUCGUA
RNAcentral lists this transfer RNA (71 nucleotides) under Alosa alosa (allis shad). Its description in RNAcentral is "tRNA-Gly". It matches the Rfam family "tRNA". From Rfam's summary of the family: Transfer RNA (tRNA) molecules are approximately 80 nucleotides in length. Their secondary structure includes four short double-helical elements and three loops (D, anti-codon, and T loops). Lineage: Eukaryota; Metazoa; Chordata; Actinopteri; Clupeiformes; Clupeidae. The record is from RNAcentral.